Non-coding RNA from Durio zibethinus, 1107 nucleotides. NCBI's taxonomy places the organism in Eukaryota, Viridiplantae, Streptophyta, Magnoliopsida, Malvales, Malvaceae. The record is from RefSeq and is a predicted model, not a curated record.
UUGUUGGAGCAAUAAUUCAGGUUGCAAAAAUAUUACACUUGUUAAUUAUGGUCAAUUGAAAACAAAUUCGAAAUUACUUGCAUUACUUGAUUUGGAAACGCAAUAAUUCUGUCUUAAUAGUUUAUUUGUCAGUAACUUAUAAUCCUGUAGCUGAUAAGACAUGAUUAUUUUGUUGAUUUUUUUGAUGUUGAUCACAAUGUUUGAAUCCAAACUUUAGGCAAAAGUUGCUGUAUUGCCAACUGGCUAUCCAAAGAGAGCAGUGAUGAAAUUAUUAGUCCUUACCAGUUCCCUUUUUUUUAACAAACAAUGCCAAUUUUCAUGUCUUGUUCUUAGCCAAUUUUGAAGCUUUCUAAUCUCAUCACAGGAAUAAUAUAUGGUGAACUUUCUUUUUUCUUUUGUUCCCGACUAUUGGAUUCAGUCAUUGAUUCCAAUCGCCCUGCUUGAUAUUUUUCAAUAAAGAAUUCCAUGCAAAUCCCAUUGUGAGAUUACUGUUGAUCCUGCUGUGGCCAAUCUUUCUCGGGAAACACAUGAAUCAAGCUAUUUGGAAGGGCCUUGGUCAUGAGGUUAGAUGCGGCAUGUUCCUAUGAGAGGUUAGACUAUCAGCAAUAUUAUUUUACUGUCAACAACACCAAGAUGCCAGUUGCCAGUUGGUUCUACCUACAUAUUCAGCUAAUUGGUUCAGCCUUCUCCAUCAAAAGGCUUAUAAGUGAAAACAAUUGCUAUAUUAAUUAUUACAUCUUCAACAUGGACCCCCUUUCUGUCACAAAUUGUAAAGCAUAUUGAGAAGCUUUUUGCCAAUGCUAGCUUAUGUCCACACACUCACCUGUCAUACAAUGGGGACUGGGUAACUGCCAGUCACCUGCUGCCACACCAAGCUAGAAACAAUUACUGAUGUUUAGAGAUCAGUGACUAUUCAAGCAUUAGAAGAAAAAAAAAAGAGUAAUUUCUCACAAGACAGAAAACCUUUACUAGAAAACCAAUAAACAACAUGCAGAAAACUAAAAGCAAGAAACACCAAUGGGGUGUAAUGCUAAAACACACAAAGGGUUGAAUUUAUAGAGCUUUCCAUAUGUUAUGAUUUUCAAAUUAUCUGACUAAUCUUGAUUU